Molecule: transfer RNA, 66 nt
Filed under: Ocellarnaca braueri
Lineage: Eukaryota; Metazoa; Arthropoda; Insecta; Orthoptera; Gryllacrididae
Description: tRNA-Leu
Source: RNAcentral
ACUAUUUUGGCAGAAAAAAGUGUAAUGAAUUUAGAAUUCAUAAAUGUGAUUGUAACACAAAUAGUA